AGGAUGAACGCUAGCGGCAGGCCUAAUACAUGCAAGUCGAACGGCAGCGGGUCCAGCAAUGGAUGCCGGCGAGUGGCGCACGGGUGCGUAACACGUAUGCAAUCUACCUGUAACUUGGGGAUAGCCCGGAGAAAUUCGGAUUAAUACCCAAUAAUAACCGAGACUGGCAUCAGUUUUUGUUUAAAGAUUUAUUGGUUACAGAUGAGCAUGCGUCUGAUUAGCUAGUUGGUGAGGUAAUGGCUCACCAAGGCGAUGAUCAGUAGGGGACCUGAGAGGGCGAUCCCCCACACUGGUACUGAGAUACGGACCAGACUCCUACGGGAGGCAGCAGUAGGGAAUAUUGGUCAAUGGAGGCAACUCUGAACCAGCCAUGCCGCGUGUAGGAAGAAGGCGUUCUGCGUUGUAAACUACUUUUGAUUGGGAACAAAUGACUCUUGCGAGAGUAGCUGAGUGUACCAAUAGAAUAAGCCACGGCUAACUACGUGCCAGCAGCCGCGGUAAUACGUAGGGCGCAAGCGUUAUCCGGAAUUAUUGGGCGUAAAGAGCUCGUAGGCGGUUUGUCGCGUCUGCUGUGAAAGACCGGGGCUCAACUCCGGUUCUGCAGUGGGUACGGGCAGACUAGAGUGCAGAAGGGGAGACUGGAAUUCCUGGUGUAGCGGUGAAAUGCGCAGAUAUCAGGAGGAACACCGAUGGCGAAGGCAGGUCUCUGGGCUGUAACUGACGCUGAGGAGCGAAAGCAUGGGGGAGCGAACAGGAUUAGAUACCCUGGUAGUCCACACCGUAAACGAUGGACACUAGGUGUUGGUGGUAUCAACCCCGCCAGUGCCGAAGCUAACGCAUUAAGUGUCCCGCCUGGGGAGU
RNAcentral lists this ribosomal RNA (861 nucleotides) under uncultured bacterium. RNAcentral's name for it is "bacterial SSU rRNA". It matches the Rfam family "Bacterial small subunit ribosomal RNA", at positions 26 to 881 of the family's 1533-position model. The record is from RNAcentral.